UGCAGUCGACGAUGAGCCCUUCGGGGUGGAUUAGUGGCGAACGGGUGAGUAACACGUGGGCAAUCUGCCCUUCACUCUGGGACAAGCCCUGGAAACGGGGUCUAAUACCGGAUACCACUCCUGCCUGCAUGGGCGGGGGUUGAAAGCUCCGGCGGUGAAGGAUGAGCCCGCGGCCUAUCAGCUUGUUGGUGGGGUAAUGGCCCACCAAGGCGACGACGGGUAGCCGGCCUGAGAGGGCGACCGGCCACACUGGGACUGAGACACGGCCCAGACUCCUACGGGAGGCAGCAGUGGGGAAUAUUGCACAAUGGGCGAAAGCCUGAUGCAGCGACGCCGCGUGAGGGAUGACGGCCUUCGGGUUGUAAACCUCUUUCAGCAGGGAAGAAGCGAAAGUGACGGUACCUGCAGAAGAAGCGCCGGCUAACUACGUGCCAGCAGCCGCGGUAAUACGUAGGGCGCAAGCGUUGUCCGGAAUUAUUGGGCGUAAAGAGCUCGUAGGCGGCUUGUCACGUCGGAUGUGAAAGCCCGAGGCUUAACCCCGGGUCUGCAGUCGAUACGGGCUAGGCUAGAGUGUCGGUAGGGGAGAUCGGAAUUCCUGGUGUAGCGGUGAAAUGCGCAGAUAUCAGGAGGAACACCGGUGGCGAAGGCGGAUCUCUGGGCCGAUUACUGACGCUGAGGAGCGAAAGCGUGGGGAGCGAACAGGAUUAGAUACCCUGGUAGUCCACGCCGUAAACGGUGGGAACUAGGUGUGGGCAACAUUCCACGUCGUCCGUGCCGCAGCUAACGCAUUAAGUGCCCCGCCUGGGGGAGUACGGCCGCAAGGCUAAAACUCAAAGGAAUUGACGGGGGCCCGCACAAGCGGCGGAGCAUGUGGCUUAAUUCGACGCAACGCGAAGAACCUUACCAAGGCUUGACAUACACCGGAAGCAUUACCCUGGAGACAGGGCCCCCCUUGUGGUCGGUAUACAGGUGCUGCAUGACUGUCGUCAGCUCGUGUCGUGAGAUGUUGGGUUAAGUCCCGCAACGAGCGCAACCCUUGUCCCGUGUUGCCAGCAGGCCCUUGUGGUGCUGGGGACUCACGGGAGACCGCCGGGGUCAACUCGGAGGAAGGUGGGGACGACGUCAAGUCAUCAUGCCCCUUAUGUCUUGGGCUGCACACGUGCUACAAUGGCCGGUACAAUGAGCUGCGAUACCGCGAGGUGGAGCGAAUCUCAAAAAGCCGGUCUCAGUUCGGAUUGGGGUCUGCAACUCGACCCCAUGAAGUCGGAGUCGCUAGUAAUCGCAGAUCAGCAUUGCUGCGGUGAAUACGUUCCCGGGCCUUGUACACACCGCCCGUCACGUCACGAAAGUCGGUAACACCCGAAGCCGGUGGCCCAACCCCUUGUGGGAGGGAGCUGUCGAAGGUGGGACUGGC
Molecule: ribosomal RNA, 1414 nt
Filed under: Streptomyces sp.
Lineage: Bacteria; Bacillati; Actinomycetota; Actinomycetes; Kitasatosporales; Streptomycetaceae
Description: bacterial SSU rRNA
Rfam family: Bacterial small subunit ribosomal RNA
Source: RNAcentral